GACGAACGCUGGCGGCGUGCCUAAUACAUGCAAGUUGAGCGCUGAAGGUUGGUACUUGUACCAACUGGAUGAGCAGCGAACGGGUGAGUAACGCGUGGGGAAUCUGCCUUUGAGCGGGGGACAACAUUUGGAAACGAAUGCUAAUACCGCAUAAAAACUUUAAACACAAGUUUUAAGUUUGAAAGAUGCAAUUGCAUCACUCAAAGAUGAUCCCGCGUUGUAUUAGCUAGUUGGUGAGGUAAAGGCUCACCAAGGCGAUGAUACAUAGCCGACCUGAGAGGGUGAUCGGCCACAUUGGGACGGAGACACGGCCCAAACCCCUACGGGAGGCAGCAGUAGGGAAUCUUCGGCAAUGGACGAAAGUCUGACCGAGCAACGCCGCGUGAGUGAAGAAGGUUUUCGGAUCGUAAAACUCGGUUGGUAGAGAAGAACGUUGGUGAGAGUGGAAAGCUCAUCAAGUGACGGUAACUACCCAGAAAGGGACGGCUAACUACGUG
This 497-nucleotide ribosomal RNA is filed under the name uncultured bacterium. RNAcentral describes it as "partial 16S ribosomal RNA". It matches the Rfam family "Bacterial small subunit ribosomal RNA", at positions 28 to 507 of the family's 1533-position model. The record is from RNAcentral.